This 613-nucleotide ribosomal RNA is filed under the name uncultured bacterium. Its description in RNAcentral is "bacterial SSU rRNA". It matches the Rfam family "Bacterial small subunit ribosomal RNA", at positions 837 to 1450 of the family's 1533-position model. The record is from RNAcentral.
CUGUGGGUUCCAAAGCUAACGCAUUAAAUAGACCGCCUGGGGAGUACGGCCGCAAGGUUAAAACUCAAAUGAAUUGACGGGGGCCCGCACAAGCGGUGGAGCAUGUGGUUUAAUUCGAUGCAACGCGAAGAACCUUACCUACCCUUGACAUCCAGAGAACUUACCAGAGAUGGUUUGGUGCCUUCGGGAACUCUGAGACAGGUGCUGCAUGGCUGUCGUCAGCUCGUGUUGUGAAAUGUUGGGUUAAGUCCCGCAACGAGCGCAACCCUUGUCCUAUGUUGCCAGCGGUUCGGCCGGGAACUCAUGGGAGACUGCCGGUGAUAAACCGGAGGAAGGUGGGGACGACGUCAAGUCAUCAUGGCCCUUACGGGUAGGGCUACACACGUGCUACAAUGGUCAGUACAAAGGGUUGCCAACUCGCGAGAGUGCGCCAAUCCCAUAAAGCUGGUCGUAGUCCGGAUCGGAGUCUGCAACUCGACUCCGUGAAGUCGGAAUCGCUAGUAAUCGUGGAUCAGAAUGCCACGGUGAAUACGUUCCCGGGCCUUGUACACACCGCCCGUCACACCAUGGGAGUGGGCUGCAAAAGAAGUGGGUAGUUUAACCUUCGGGAGGA